AAAGCCUUAGGUUAAAAUCAAACCUUCAACCUUCAAAGUUGAUAAUAGAAAAAUUCAUUCUAGGCUUUA
Molecule: transfer RNA, 69 nt
Filed under: Ellipes minuta
Lineage: Eukaryota; Metazoa; Arthropoda; Insecta; Orthoptera; Tridactylidae
Description: tRNA-Trp
Source: RNAcentral